AGAUAUUAAUACUGCAGGAGUCACUGGUUUGACCUACGCAGAAAUCAAUUUAAAGGGCAAAAAGAAAACCACAGGCAAAGGUGCUGGAUUUGCUGAUGUUCUGAUUGAAAUGAAGUAUAAGGAAAAACAUGGCGGGAUGAGCAGUGAGUCUGGAGACACAUUAUAUUCUGAAUUAAAGCACAACACAGAUGGAGGUGCUGAUGCUGGAGGUGAUGCAACAUAUGCUCAAGUUUUGAGUAAGAAGAAGAAGAAAACACGUCUGUGAGUGCAGUGAUGAAAACAGACGCCAGAAGAGAUGAACACCAGCGCUCGCUUUGCUUCAGAAAUGACUCUGAGUGAACUGCUUCUGCA
This is a long non-coding RNA of Danio aesculapii, 351 nucleotides long. RefSeq lists it as uncharacterized. The record is from RefSeq and is a predicted model, not a curated record. NCBI's taxonomy places the organism in Eukaryota, Metazoa, Chordata, Actinopteri, Cypriniformes, Danionidae. The transcript is spliced from 5 exons.